AGACCAUGGUGAAGACACUUCCUAAACAGUUCCUUAAAUCUCUCCUGUGACUCAUAUAAGGUUUCAUUGUCAAAUUGAAAAAAAGUUGUUAUGUCAUUCCUUAAUUU
This 107-nucleotide small nucleolar RNA is filed under the name Nelumbo nucifera (sacred lotus). Its description in RNAcentral is "Plant small nucleolar RNA R71". It matches the Rfam family "Plant small nucleolar RNA R71". From Rfam's summary of the family: R71 is a member of the C/D box family of snoRNAs containing the C (UGAUGA) and D (CUGA) box motifs. Multiple nearly identical copies of this snoRNA have been identified in Arabidopsis, and it is thought to function as a 2'-O-ribose methylation guide for 18S ribosomal RNA. Lineage: Eukaryota; Viridiplantae; Streptophyta; Magnoliopsida; Proteales; Nelumbonaceae. The record is from Rfam by way of RNAcentral.